RNAcentral lists this ribosomal RNA (468 nucleotides) under uncultured bacterium. RNAcentral describes it as "partial 16S ribosomal RNA". It matches the Rfam family "Bacterial small subunit ribosomal RNA", at positions 28 to 507 of the family's 1533-position model. The record is from RNAcentral.
GACGAACGCUGGCGGCGUGCUUAACACAUGCAAGUCGAACGGAAAGGCCCUGCUUUUGUGGGGUGCUCGAGUGGCGAACGGGUGAGUAACACGUGAGUAACCUGCCCUUGACUUUGGGAUAACUUCAGGAAACUGGGGCUAAUACCGGAUAGGAGCUCCUGCUGAAUGGUGGGGGUUGGAAAGUUUCGGCGGUUGGGGAUGGACUCGCGGCUUAUCAGCUUGUUGGUGGGGUAGUGGCUUACCAAGGCUUUGACGGGUAGCCGGCCUGAGAGGGUGACCGGCCACACUGGGACUGAGCUACGGCACAGACUCCUACGGGAGGCAGCAGUGGGGAAUAUUGCACAAUGGGCGGAAGCCUGAUGCACCAACGCCGCGUGCGGGAUGACGGCCUUCGGGUUGUAAACCGCUUUCGCCUGUGACGAAGCAUGAGUGACGGUAAUGGGUAAAGAAGCACCGGCUAACUACGUG